Armillaria mellea is the source of this 87-nucleotide non-coding RNA. Lineage: Eukaryota; Fungi; Basidiomycota; Agaricomycetes; Agaricales; Physalacriaceae. The record is from the annotation of a GenBank genome assembly.
UCUCUGAUAGUAUAUCGGUUAGUACACGCGCCUGUCAUGUUAUUGGAAUGAACGCGCGAAAGCUGGGUUCGACUCCCAGUCAGAGAG